GUAACAAGGUUUCCGUAGGUGAACCUGCGGAAGGAUCAUUGUCGAUAUCUCGCAAUCAGUUUGACCGGCGAACAUGUUUAUCUGACCCGGCGGGGUUGGCAUGAUCUCAUCCUCCCCGCGUCGAGGGGUUGGCACGUGUGCGGCGCGGCUUCCCCUCGACAAACACAAACCCCGGCGCCUCGUGCGCCAAGGAAUCCCAAAAAUUGUUGAGUGCGGCCCCCCGGGAGUUGGAGACAACGUCCCGCGGGUCCCGUCACCACACACGAAAAAGAAAUGACUCUCGGCAAUGGAUAUCUCGGCUCUUGCAUCGAUGAAGAACGUAGCGAAAUGCGAUACUUGGUGUGAAUUGCAGAAUCCCGUGAACCAUCGAGUCUUUGAACGCAAGUUGCGCCCGAAGCCAUUAGGCCGAGGGCAUGCCUGCCUGGGUGUCACACACUGUUACCCUCACGCAAAGGUCCACCCGUUGGCCGGCGCGUGGCGGUGUACGCUGACCUCCCGCGAGCGGUGUCUCGUGGUUGGUUGAAAAUCGAGUUCACGGUCGAGUGCGCCGUGAUAAAAUGGUGGACGGGCAGAUGCCCGAGACCGAUCACGCGCGACGCUGUCCGAUGUGACCCUCGGACCCCUGCGGCGUCUUCGGAUGCCCUUCUAGCGAGACCUCAGGUCAGGCGGGGCUACCCGCUGAGUUUAAGCAUAUC
Molecule: ribosomal RNA, 695 nt
Filed under: Uraria crinita
Lineage: Eukaryota; Viridiplantae; Streptophyta; Magnoliopsida; Fabales; Fabaceae
Description: eukaryotic LSU rRNA
Rfam family: 5.8S ribosomal RNA (bases 276-431)
Source: RNAcentral